RNAcentral lists this ribosomal RNA (655 nucleotides) under uncultured Actinomycetales bacterium. Its description in RNAcentral is "bacterial SSU rRNA". It matches the Rfam family "Bacterial small subunit ribosomal RNA", at positions 93 to 763 of the family's 1533-position model. The record is from RNAcentral. Lineage: Bacteria; Bacillati; Actinomycetota; Actinomycetes; Actinomycetales.
GAGUGGCGAACGGGUGAGUAACACGUGGGUGAUCUGCCUUGCACUUCGGGAUAAGCUUGGGAAACUGGGUCUAAUACCGGAUAGGACCGCACUUUAGUGUGUGUGGUGGAAAGUUUUUUCGGUGUAGGAUGAGCUCGCGGCCUAUCAGCUUGUUGGUGGGGUAAUGGCCUACCAACGCGGCGACGGGUAGCCGGCCUGAGAGGGUGUACGGCCACAUUGGGACUGAGAUACGGCCCAGACUCCUACGGGAGGCAGCAGUGGGGAAUAUUGCACAAUGGGCGCAAGCCUGAUGCAGCGACGCCGCGUGGGGGAUGAAGGCCUUCGGGUCGUAAACUCCUUUCGCUAGGGACGAAGCUUUUUGUGACGGUACCUAGAUAAGAAGCACCGGCUAACUACGUGCCAGCAGCCGCGGUAAUACGUAGGGUGCGAGCGUUGUCCGGAAUUACUGGGCGUAAAGGGCUCGUAGGUGGUUUGUCGCGUCGUCUGUGAAAUUCUGGGGCUUAACUCCGGGCGUGCAGGCGAUACGGGCAUAACUUGAGUGCUGUAGGGGUAACUGGAAUUCCUGGUGUAGCGGUGAAAUGCGCAGAUAUCAGGAGGACACCGAUGGCGAAGGCAGGUUACUGGGCAGUUACUGACGCUGAGGAGCGAAAGCAUG